This 418-nucleotide ribosomal RNA is filed under the name uncultured Prevotellaceae bacterium. RNAcentral's name for it is "bacterial SSU rRNA". It matches the Rfam family "Bacterial small subunit ribosomal RNA", at positions 352 to 766 of the family's 1533-position model. Lineage: Bacteria; Pseudomonadati; Bacteroidota; Bacteroidia; Bacteroidales; Prevotellaceae. The record is from RNAcentral.
UGAGGGAAUAUUUGGGUCAAUGGACGUAAGUCUGAACCAGCCAAGUAGCGUGCAGGAUGAAGGCCCUCUGGGUCGUAAACUGCUUUUGGGUGAGGGUAAAAGGCGGGACGUGUCCUGCGUAUUGCAAGUAUCACCCGAAUAAGGACCGGCUAAUUCCGUGCCAGCAGUCGCGGUAAUACGGAAGGUCCGGGCGUUAUCCGGAUUUAUUGGGUUUAAAGGGAGCGCAGGCGGUUCUUCAAGUCAGUUGUGAAACGCGGGGCUUAACCUCGCGCCUGCAGUUGAUACUGUUGAACUUGAGUGCACACAGGGAUGUUGGAAUUCAUGGUGUAGCGGUGAAAUGCUUAGAUAUCAUGAAGAACUCCGAUCGCGAAGGCAUAUGUCCGGUGUGUUACUGACGCUGAGGCUCGAAAGCGCGGGG